UACAGAGGUCUCAAGCGUUGUUCGGAUUCAUUGGGCGUAAAGGGUGCGUAGGCGGCGCGGUAAGUCGGGUGUGAAAUCUUGGAGCUUAACUCCGAAACUGCAUUCGAUACUGCCGUGCUUGAGGACUGGAGAGGAGACUGGAAUUUACGGUGUAGCGGUGAAAUGCGCAGAUAUCAGGAGGAACACCGAUGGCGAAGGCAGGUCUCUGGGCCGAUACUGACGCUGAGGAGCGAAAGCGUGGGGAGCGAACAGG
This 253-nucleotide ribosomal RNA is filed under the name uncultured bacterium. RNAcentral describes it as "partial 16S ribosomal RNA". It matches the Rfam family "Bacterial small subunit ribosomal RNA", at positions 524 to 776 of the family's 1533-position model. The record is from RNAcentral.